AUGGGGGGACCAUCCUCCAAGGCUAAAUACUCGUAAUCGACCGAUAGUGAACCAGUACCGUGAGGGAAAGGCGAAAAGAACCCCGGGAGGGGAGUGAAAUAGAUCCUGAAACCGUGUGCAUACAAACAGUAGGAGCGGACUUGUUCCGUGACUGCGUACCUUUUGUAUAAUGGGUCAGCGACUUACAUUCAGUGGCAAGGUUAACCAUAUAGGGAAGCCGUAGAGAAAUCGAGUCCGAACAGGGCGUCCAGUCGCUGGGUGUAGACCCGAAACCAAGUGAUCUACUCAUGGCCAGGAUGAAGGUGCGGUAACACGCACUGGAGGUCCGAACCCACUAAUGUUGAAAAAUUAGGGGAUGAGCUGUGGGUAGGGGUGAAAGGCUAAACAAACUUGGAAAUAGCUGGUUCUCUCCGAAAACUAUUUAGGUAGUGCCUCAAGUAUCACCAUCGGGGGUAGAGCACUGUUAUGGCUAGGGGGUCAUCGCGACUUACCAAACCAUUGCAAACUCCGAAUACCGAUGAGUGCGAGCUUGGGAGACAGACGUCGGGUGCUAACGUCCGGCGUCAAGAGGGAAACAACCCAGACCGCCAGCUAAGGUCCCAAAGAUUGGCUAAGUGGAAAACGAAGUGGGAAGGCUAAAACAGUCAGGAUGUUGGCUUAGAAGCAGCCAUCAUUUAAAGAAAGCGUAAUAGCUCACUGAUCGAGUCGUCCUGCGCGGAAGAUGUAACGGGGCUAAGCCAGUCACCGAAGCUGCGGAUAU
Molecule: ribosomal RNA, 760 nt
Filed under: Rugamonas brunnea
Lineage: Bacteria; Pseudomonadati; Pseudomonadota; Betaproteobacteria; Burkholderiales; Oxalobacteraceae
Description: Bacterial large subunit ribosomal RNA
Rfam family: Bacterial large subunit ribosomal RNA
Source: Rfam by way of RNAcentral